Molecule: ribosomal RNA, 253 nt
Filed under: uncultured bacterium
Lineage: Bacteria
Description: partial 16S ribosomal RNA
Rfam family: Bacterial small subunit ribosomal RNA
Source: RNAcentral
UACGUAGGUGGCAAGCGUUGUCCGGAUUUACUGGGCGUAAAGAGCGCGCAGGCGGUUCGUUAAGUGGGAUGUGAAAUCCCCGGGCUUAACCUGGGAAUUGCAUUUCAAACUGGCCGACUAGAGUACGGUAGAGGGAGGUAGAAUUUCCUGUGUAGCGGUGAAAUGCGUAGAUAUAGGAAGGAAUACCAGUGGCGAAGGCGGCCUCCUGGAUCGAUACUGACGCUGAGGCGCGAAAGCGUGGGGAGCAAACAGG